ACUCACCGGACCUUGAGGCUUCAUCCCCUCCGGCCAUGCCUUGCCGUGGACGGAGCGGGUGGAGGCUCUCGGUUAUAGCCGGAUCCCGACCCAUCUCCGAGCCCUUCCCCUCUCCGGCAUCACUUCGGAGGGAGGAAGGGCUGGCCUUCCCUUCCGCCGGUGCACCGGGGGGAAACCCCCGCCUCGGUCGGUGGAUCGGGGGGAGCCUCGUCUCCCCGGUUGCCGCAGGAGAAGAAGGGGAGGAGAGUGGGUUUCGGAGGG
RNAcentral lists this long non-coding RNA (261 nucleotides) under Phoenix dactylifera (date palm). Its description in RNAcentral is "long non-coding RNA (PDAC_LNC005479)". Lineage: Eukaryota; Viridiplantae; Streptophyta; Magnoliopsida; Arecales; Arecaceae. The record is from RNAcentral.